Molecule: microRNA precursor, 111 nt
Filed under: Lupinus albus (white lupine)
Lineage: Eukaryota; Viridiplantae; Streptophyta; Magnoliopsida; Fabales; Fabaceae
Description: microRNA MIR167_1
Rfam family: MIR167 microRNA precursor family
Source: RNAcentral
ACAGAGGAAAAAGUGAAGCUGCCAGCAUGAUCUAGAUUUGGUUAAGGAGAGCUAGAGAGUGCUAAUUAACCUUGACUAGGUCAUGCUGAGCCAGCCUCACUCCUUCCUAUU